Long non-coding RNA from Chinchilla lanigera (long-tailed chinchilla), 627 nucleotides. RefSeq lists it as uncharacterized. The record is from RefSeq and is a predicted model, not a curated record. Lineage: Eukaryota; Metazoa; Chordata; Mammalia; Rodentia; Chinchillidae. The transcript is spliced from 3 exons.
UAGCGACCAUGAAAGGCUGAGCCACCUCGGCAGGCAGCUGGGGACGCCACCUCUGAUAGCCCGUCCCCUUUAUGGAUCACCUGAGUCCAGGCACCAGGCUGCCUCUCAGUCACGCAUGACCACAGCAUCCCAGAUCUGUACCUGUUGCCAAACAAAAAGGCUCCAAAUAUUCUCUGUAAUACUCUAAAAUAUUUAGGAGUUACACUGCAUCUUUGAUUUCACAAUCAAAGAAUGUACCUGGGCAUAUCUGUAAAAUUCUGAUGGAAACCUUUGAAUCCUACUGAUACUGAAAGUAUGUGCCUUCCUGUCAUCUGUCUUUCUUCUCUUUUCCUAAGAAGACCUCAUAGUCCAGAGAACUAAACUUGUCUUACUGGUUUGGCCCUCAGGAAAAGUACCUGGUAGGCUGCUUAACCAAGCGCUGUGUAUGCCUGGACAGAUACCAAAUAUUAUGUGCUUGAUGGGUUUGAUGAGGCAACAUCAAAAUAACUACGCGAAGAGUCCACAAACAUCACUGGAUGAGCAAUGCAAAAGCAGGGACAGGCAUGGCGAACACGGAUGCCUUGGUAAAGCCUCCCAAACAGUCCUUGCUAUCUUAAAGCAGCUGGAAGUGCCAUUACAUAGUCUGAG